RNAcentral lists this ribosomal RNA (481 nucleotides) under uncultured bacterium. Its description in RNAcentral is "bacterial SSU rRNA". It matches the Rfam family "Bacterial small subunit ribosomal RNA", at positions 29 to 526 of the family's 1533-position model. The record is from RNAcentral.
AAUGAACGUUGGCGGCGUGGAUUAGGCAUGCAAGUCGAGCGCUCAUCAGCAAUGGUGGGAGCGGCGAACGGCGUAGUAAGACGUAGGAACGUACCCUCGGGACGGGGAUAGCUACGGGAAACUGUAGGUAAUACCCGAUAAUCUCUGCGGAGCAAAGGUGUGAUUCCGCCUGGGGAGCGGCUUACGCGAUAUUAGCUAGUUGGUGGGGUAAUGGCCUACCAAGGCGAUGAGGUCUAGGGGGUGUGAGAGCAUGGCCCCCACGACCGGAACUGAGAUACUGUCCGGACACCUACGGGUGGCUGCAGUCGAGAAUCUUCCGCAAUGGGCGAAAGUCUGACGGAGCGACGCCGCGUGCGGGAUGAAGGCCCUUGGGUUGUAAACCGCUGUCAGAGGGGAUGAAAUCUUCGGAGGUACUCCUCCGAAGUUGACAGAGCCUCAAAGGAAGCACGGGCUAAGUACGUGCCAGCAGCCGCCGUAAAAC